AUUAAACGCUGGCGGCAUGCCUUACACAUGCAAGUCGAACGGCAGCACGGGGGCAACCCUGGUGGCGAGUGGCGGACGGGUGAGUAAAGCAUCGGAACGUAUCCUGGAGUGGGGGAUAACGUAGCGAAAGUUACGCUAAUACCGCAUAUUCUGUGAGCAGGAAAGCAGGGGAUCGCAAGACCUUGCGCUCUGGGAGCGGCCGAUGUCGGAUUAGCUAGUUGGUGGGGUAAAGGCCUACCAAGGCGACGAUCCGUAGCGGGUCUGAGAGGAUGAUCCGCCACACUGGGACUGAGACACGGCCCAGACUCCUACGGGAGGCAGCAGUGGGGAAUUUUGGACAAUGGGCGGAAGCCUGAUCCAGCCAUGCCGCGUGAGUGAAGA
Molecule: ribosomal RNA, 381 nt
Filed under: uncultured bacterium
Lineage: Bacteria
Description: bacterial SSU rRNA
Rfam family: Bacterial small subunit ribosomal RNA
Source: RNAcentral